UUUGGCUCUGGACACUUGAGCAACUGAGUGUCUUACAUAUGCACAGAGCCCACAAGCUGCCAUGAGCUAUUUCUACAUGUAACUAGGUGACUACGCCUUGCAACCUUCCUACCUUAUAGCCUUUUAACUUCAUUAUGUGAUCAGGCAUGUUGCCAACUCUGAAGGCCAUUCCACGCAUCUGAGUGAUCUGGCAUAUCGUCCAGGUGAUUUAAGUGCCAAUCUUGAUAAAGGUCCACAUAAGGACCGAAACGUCGAUGAAAUACGGCAUCAACAGUGAACCCGAAU
This is a long non-coding RNA of Pseudophryne corroboree (corroboree frog), 285 nucleotides long. RefSeq lists it as uncharacterized. Lineage: Eukaryota; Metazoa; Chordata; Amphibia; Anura; Myobatrachidae. The record is from RefSeq and is a predicted model, not a curated record. The transcript has 4 exons.